This 253-nucleotide ribosomal RNA is filed under the name uncultured bacterium. Its description in RNAcentral is "partial 16S ribosomal RNA". It matches the Rfam family "Bacterial small subunit ribosomal RNA", at positions 524 to 776 of the family's 1533-position model. The record is from RNAcentral.
UACGUAGGCAGCAAGCGUUGUUCGGAGUUACUGGGCGUAAAGGGCGCGUAGGCGGCUUUUCAAGUCAGGGGUGAAAUCCGGCAGCUUAACUGUCGAAGUGCCCUUGAUACUGAUGAGCUCGAGGGAGGUAGGGGUAUGUGGAACUUCCGGUGGAGCGGUGAAAUGCGCUGAUAUCGGAAGGAACGCCGGUGGCGAAAGCGACGUACUGGACCUCUUCUGACGCUGAGGCGCGAAAGCUAGGGGAGCAAACGGG